UAACCUGCCUGGUAGCGGGGGGUAACUAUUGGAAACGAUAGCUAAUACCGCAUAAGAGUAGAUGUUGCAUGACAUUUGCUUAAAAGGUGCAAUUGCAUCACUACCAGAUGGACCUGCGUUGUAUUAGCUAGUUGGUGAGGUAACGGCUCACCAAGGCAACGAUACAUAGCCGACCUGAGAGGGUGAUCGGCCACACUGGGACUGAGACACGGCCCAG
RNAcentral lists this ribosomal RNA (217 nucleotides) under uncultured bacterium. Its description in RNAcentral is "partial 16S ribosomal RNA". It matches the Rfam family "Bacterial small subunit ribosomal RNA", at positions 122 to 334 of the family's 1533-position model. The record is from RNAcentral.